AUGCGUGCGCGCACAUGUAUAAAUGAUGGAUGGGAAGGAAUGGGACGUUAUCACAGAGUGCAUGUAUCACUGCCUGCCAUUUUUACACAGGCCUGUGACAGGACAGUGAGAUGCAGAACAUGGGCCGCAGCCUCCAAGAUGAGCAGAUCUUCAUUUCCUGUUCAGAGCAGGAUCAUACACAAGCAAUAUGUGACCAAUAGUGACUGAUUCAGAGCAAGAGCAUCCCGGCUUGCAUUUUUGACAGGGUGGCAGGGAAACCAAGAUCCAGGUCGAAGAUGCGGCUGAAGAACAAUAGCUGUGGAUGCUUUCACACUGAUUCUAAUUAUCAGGGCAGCGCUCUGACUCCGUCGCCGUCAGCCCUAGCGUCUCCAUUAAUCUUGUGCUGUCGCCCACCUCACUAAACCCAGUGCUGUUACACUAUCUCUGCUUUACUUCAUCUGCGGAGCCUGUGUUAGGCUGUAAUUAAUGAAUCCCCACUCCCCCCGUGCUAGGUCUGCUGCUUCUAAUCACGAGGAGAGUUGUGCCAUGAAAAGUGUUGAUGGGAAGGGGGGUCAGCAUGACAGUAAAUAUGUAUAACUAAACAAAGAAAAACUGCCAAUUUAAAACAAAAUCCUGUUGUUUUCACAUAAUUUAUUCCAGAUAUUCAAUAAUGACUUGUAAUGAAAUGAAAACCAUUAUCAGCCUUUUGUGUCGCUAAGUUCAUUUUCUUUUGUUUUUAACAAAAAUUUCAGGCCAUGAACUGACUUGCACUACUGCCUCCUUACACAACAUUUUCAUUGCAUUACUGCUAUUACUAUUAUUAUCAAUAUUGUUAACAAUUUUUAACAAUAAUAAUAAUGAAACUUUUUUGUUACUUCAUUGUAGGUGCCUACACUUUCAACAUAAUUAUCCAGGCAGUGUUGAGCUUACUUACUGAAGAGGAAAUUAAUUGGAAAAUUACCUAAAAUCUAUAAAUAUAUAUUUAAAAAUGAUGAAAAUAAAUGUAUAAUAAUAAUAAUAAUAAUAAUAAUAAUAAUAAUAUACAUUUAUUCAUCAUAAAAAAAAAACAAAUAUAUAUAUAUAUAUAUAUAUAUAUAUAUAUAUAUAUAUAAUCAUAUUUGGUAAAUAUUAGAAGAUAAGCUGCUGAUUAUGGCAUCAAACAACUGAGACCACAUAUAGAUAAGCCAUACAACACAAAUGUACACAAAAAAACUUUUUCAAAAUUGUAAAUAAAAACAAAGAUUACUGGAGUAUGUUUUACAAGAAAAUACUAUUUCUGCCUUUCUACCUCACAAUUAAGUCUACCUGAGAAUAUUUGAAACAACUUCCUACUCAAUCUCUUGUGGUAAUUUGAUGGUAAUGUUUAAGAAAUGGACUGACUCUAUAUGGAAAGAAAAAUAAAAAAUAUGAAAACAGACAUAUGAAAACAGACAGGAAACAUUAUGGUUGUGCCCAUGGUUAAGUAAGCAUAAGAUCUGUAAUCCUCUCUCUGACUAUAAGAACAGAGCUCUUGUGA
This is a long non-coding RNA of Cyprinus carpio carpio, 1495 nucleotides long. Lineage: Eukaryota; Metazoa; Chordata; Actinopteri; Cypriniformes; Cyprinidae. The record is from Ensembl.